CCUACGGGAGGCAGCAGUGGGGAAUAUUGCACAAUGGGGGAAACCCUGAUGCAGCGACGCCGCGUGAGUGAAGAAGUAUUUCGGUAUGUAAAGCUCUAUCAACAGGGAAGAAAAUGACGGUACCUGAUUCAGAAGCCCCGGCUAACUACGUGCCAGCAGCCGCGGUAAUACGUAGGGGGCAAGCGUUAUCCGGAUUUACUGGGUGUAAAGGGAGCGUAGACGGCAGCACAAGUCUGGAGUGAAAGGCCGGGGCUUAACCCCGGAACUGUUUUGGAAACUGUGCAGCUAGAGUGCAGGAGAGGUAAGUGGAAUUCCUGGUGUAGCGGUGAAAUGCGUAGAUAUUAGGAGGAACACCAGUGGCGAAGGCGGCUUACUGGACUGUAACUGACGUUGAGGCUCGAAAGCGUGGGGAGCAAACAGGAUUAGAUACCCCAGUAGUC
This 440-nucleotide ribosomal RNA is filed under the name uncultured bacterium. RNAcentral describes it as "partial 16S ribosomal RNA". It matches the Rfam family "Bacterial small subunit ribosomal RNA", at positions 338 to 795 of the family's 1533-position model. The record is from RNAcentral.